AGAGUUUGAUCAUGGCUCAGAUUGAACGCUGGCGGCAGGCCUAACACAUGCAAGUCGAGCGGUAACAGAAAUUAGCUUGCUAAUUUGCUGACGAGCGGCGGACGGGUGAGUAAUGCCUGGGAAUAUGCCUUAGUGUGGGGGAUAACUAUUGGAAACGAUAGCUAAUACCGCAUAACGUCUUCGGACCAAAGAGGGGGAUCUUCGGACCUCUCGCGCUAAGAUUAGCCCAGGUGAGAUUAGCUAGUUGGUGAGGUAAGAGCUCACCAAGGCGACGAUCUCUAGCUGGUCUGAGAGGAUGAUCAGCCACACUGGAACUGAGACACGGUCCAGACUCCUACGGGAGGCAGCAGUGGGGAAUAUUGCACAAUGGGCGAAAGCCUGAUGCAGCCAUGCCGCGUGUAUGAAGAAGGCCUUCGGGUUGUAAAGUACUUUCAGUAGGGAGGAAGGUGUUGUCGUUAAUAGCGGCAGCAUUUGACGUUACCUACAGAAGAAGCACCGGCUAACUCCGUGCCAGCAGCCGCGGUAAU
RNAcentral lists this ribosomal RNA (527 nucleotides) under uncultured bacterium. Its description in RNAcentral is "bacterial SSU rRNA". It matches the Rfam family "Bacterial small subunit ribosomal RNA", at positions 8 to 524 of the family's 1533-position model. The record is from RNAcentral.